GACGAACGCUGGCGGCGUGCCUAAUACAUGCAAGUAGAACGCUGAAGGAGGAGCUUGCUUCUCUGGAUGAGUUGCGAACGGGUGAGUAACGCGUAGGUAACCUGCCUGGUAGCGGGGGAUAACUAUUGGAAACGAUAGCUAAUACCGCAUAACAGUAGAUAUCGCAUGAUAUCUACUUGAAAGGUGCAAUUGCAUCACUACCAGAUGGACCUGCGUUGUAUUAGCUAGUUGGUGAGGUAACGGCUCACCAAGGCGACGAUACAUAGCCGACCUGAGAGGGUGAUCGGCCACACUGGGACUGAGACACGGCCCAGACUCCUACGGGAGGCAGCAGUAGGGAAUCUUCGGCAAUGGACGGAAGUCUGACCGAGCAACGCCGCGUGAGUGAAGAAGGUUUUCGGAUCGUAAAGCUCUGUCGUAAGAGAAGAACGAGUGUGAGAGUGGAAAGUUCACACUGUGACGGUAUCUUACCAGAAAGGGACGGCUAACUACGUG
RNAcentral lists this ribosomal RNA (495 nucleotides) under uncultured bacterium. RNAcentral's name for it is "partial 16S ribosomal RNA". It matches the Rfam family "Bacterial small subunit ribosomal RNA", at positions 28 to 507 of the family's 1533-position model. The record is from RNAcentral.